UCUAUUUCAUCAUGAAUUACCGUAAAUCGCUAACAGGGAGAGUACAGAGACAAAGAAAUAGAGAAAUGUGCAACUGAGUAGAACACGAACUGUAAUUAAUACUACAAAUUGAAAUUGAAUUUGAAGUUGAUGAUUACAAUGCCUACAAAAGACGAUUGUGCUAUUUCUACUUACAAAACGGUCUCCGACGUUUCCUUCUGGGUGUUACAAACUUCGUGGCAAACUUAAUAUACCCUGUUCAAAAGCGUGAGGGGCUUGAUAUAUUUAAUGUGACAAUCAUUCUAUCUGCAGUUAUUUAUGAGAGGAGAGUUAUAAAAAUAUUGUAAAAGGCAGCUAUGGUAUAUCGAGCAUACCACACUUUUCUUGCAAUAAUAAAAGUAUUUCUUGGUCAAUAUUACGGUCUGUUAUAUUAAGAAUUAUUUUCUAUAUUUUAGUUCGAUUAGCUAUAAAAUCGCGGUUUUUUAUUAUUUUUAAAUUAUUAUUUAUUAUUCAUUUUCAUAUUUCAUUUUAUCAAUUAUUUAUUCGCGGACAUGAGGUAGUAUUGAAAUGAAUUUUGUUCCGUAAAAUAAAUGGAUUGCAAUUUAUGUUCUGAUUAUUUUGUUGUAAUUAAGAAGCCUUUUGUGAAUCACAGUUAUCAUAUUAUAUAUUACAUUAAUAUUAUAUACAGUAACUUGCGUAUAUUAGACUCAUUUCUACCUAUGCAUAUAUAAAGAAUAAACGUGGUGAUCAGAUAACCAAAAUUACGCGACAACAGACAACCCGUCAGCAGUUAUAACCAAUGUGACGUUGAGUUGUCGACAAUUUAUUACUCAGCCACUUUUGCCUGCAAGUUGCUGAAAAUCUACCAUCGAAAUUGUCAACAACACUCGUGGUCAAAUGUUGCGUACAAUUUACCAACAAGAUCUUCCACACUACAUUUUGGAGCUAGGUUGUCCUCAAAUGGUAAGAAAUUUACCGCCGACUUUCAUACGACUUUGUACUCGACAACUUGACAACAAUUCCCUGCAGUUCUGCAUUGUGCUGUGCCGAGUUUCUGAGCGAAAGAAUAAUUUUGAAACUGCAUUCUUCCUUAAUUACGAUGUGGUAUUUAAUUGUUAUCAAACUGAAGCUCAUAGAUAAAAUGAUCCGAAACUCCUCUCUUUGCCUUCUGAGAGAGCUCAUGAACUUUAAGUGCUGCCAAAAAAAAACCACGAGUUCCUGAGCUACUGAACAGAUGACAAGCAAAACAACGAACUACCACUAAGAAUCCAGCAGAAAUAAAUUGCGAAAUCAGUGGGUUAUUUGUGAGAUCAGAUUUUUUAGUGACUUUUACCUGUGUUUCUAAUCUUUAUUUAAAGAGAUUUAAUAUAGUUUUGAUUUUAAGACAGAGCGGGUACUUUAUCGCAGAGUAUGUUUUGCUUAGCAAUACCAAUUUUCAACGUAUAUACAUAUUUUGGUUAGAAUUCCCAGCAAACGUUAUGUAAACUUUGACCUACGAAUAUAUUAUCGAAAGAUAUUUGUUUAUUCAGUAUAUAAAAACUAAGUAAUGUUCAUG
Molecule: non-coding RNA, 1534 nt
Organism: Bactrocera oleae (olive fruit fly)
Lineage: Eukaryota; Metazoa; Arthropoda; Insecta; Diptera; Tephritidae
Source: RefSeq, a predicted model, not a curated record